RNAcentral lists this ribosomal RNA (891 nucleotides) under uncultured Chloroflexota bacterium. RNAcentral describes it as "bacterial SSU rRNA". It matches the Rfam family "Bacterial small subunit ribosomal RNA", at positions 28 to 896 of the family's 1533-position model. The record is from RNAcentral. Lineage: Bacteria; Bacillati; Chloroflexota.
GAUGAACGCUGGCGGCGUGCCUGACACAUGCAAGUCGAACGAACUGAGGGGCCGUUGAUCGGGUUUCGGAAGGGUUCGUCCCGGAAGAGCCUGUGAGGUUCCUUGGUUAGUGGCGAACGGGUGAGUAACACGUAGGUGACCUGCCCCGAAGAGGGGGAUAACCACUGGAAACGGUGGCUAAUACCCCGUAUAGUCCCGCAUUCGGUUGCGGGAUUAAAGGCUCCGGCGCUUCGGGAGGGGCCUGCGGCCUAUCAGCUAGUUGGUAGGGUAAUGGCCUACCAAGGCUAUGACGGGUAGCUGGUCUGAGAGGACGCACAGCCACACUGGCACUGAGACACGGGCCAGACUCCUACGGGAGGCAGCAGUGAGGGAUCUUGCGCAAUGGGGGAAACCCUGACGCAGCAACGCCGCGUGGGCGAAGAAGGUCUUCGGAUCGUAAAGCCCUUUUCUCUCGGACGAGGAAGGACGGUACGGGAGGAAUAAGCGUCGGCUAACUACGUGCCAGCAGCCGCGGUAAAACGUAGGACGCAAGCGUUAUCCGGAUUUAUUGGGCGUAAAGGGCGUGUAGGCGGCGUCUUAAGUUGGGCGUGAAAUCUUCCGGCUCAACCGGAAGGGUGCGUUCAAUACUGGGACGCUUGAGGGCAGCAGAGGGAGGUGGAAUUCCCGGAGUAGCGGUGGAAUGCGUAGAUAUCGGGAGGAACACCAGUGGCGAAGGCGGCCUCCUGGGCUGUACCUGACGCUGGAGCGCGAAAGCGUGGGGAGCAAACGGGAUUAGAUACCCCGGUAGUCCACGCCGUAAACGAUGGAUACUAGGUGUCGGUGGUAUUGACCCCAUCGGUGCCGCAGCUAACGCAUUAAGUAUCCCGCCUGGGGACUACGGCCGCAAGGCUA